GAUGAAGAACGCAGCGAAAUGCGAUAAGUAAUGUGAAUUGCAGAAUUCAGUGAAUCAUCGAAUCUUUGAACGCACAUUGCGCCCGCCAGUAUUCUGGCGGGCAUGCCUGUCCGAGCGUCAUUGCUGCCCUCAAGCACGGCUUGUGUGUUGGGCCCCGUCCUCCGAUCCCGGGGGACGGGCCCGAAAGGCAGCGGCGGCACCGCGUCCGGUCCUCGAGCGUAUGGGGCUUUGUCACCCGCUCUGUAGGCCCGGCCGGCGCUUGCCGAUCAACCCAAAUUUUUUAUCCAGGUUGACCUCGGAUCAGGUAGGGAUACCCGCUGAACUUAAGCAUAUCAAUAAGCGGAGGA
RNAcentral lists this unclassified non-coding RNA (347 nucleotides) under soil metagenome. RNAcentral's name for it is "partial contains 5.8S ribosomal RNA, internal transcribed spacer 2, and large subunit ribosomal RNA". The stretch from base 1 to 120 matches the Rfam family "5.8S ribosomal RNA", at positions 35 to 154 of the family's 154-position model. The record is from RNAcentral.